UAAGACGAAGGGUGCUAGCGUUGUUCGGAAUGACUGGGCGUAAAGGGCGCGUAGGCGGUCUUUUAAGUUAGGCGUGAAAGCCCCCGGGCUUAACCCCGGGACGUGCGCUUAAGACUGAAAGGCUUGAGUAUGGAAGAGGUAAGUGGAAUUCCUAGUGUAGAGGUGAAAUUCGUAGAUAUUAGGAAGAACACCAGUGGCGAAGGCGGCUUACUGGUCCAUUACUGACGCUGAGGCGCGAAAGUGUGGGGAGCAAACAGGAUUAGAUACCCCUGGUAGUCCACACUGUAAACGAUGAGUGCUAGACGUCGGGUAGUAAUAUUCGGUGUCGCAGUUAACGCAUUAAGCACUCCGCCUGGGGAGUACGGUCGCAAGAUUAAAACUCAAAGGAAUUGACGGGGGCCCACACAAGCGGUGGAGCAUGUGGUUUAAUUCGAAGCAACGCGAAAAAACCCUUACCCAGGCCUUGACAUGGUGAUUAUGGGUUUCAGAGAUGAGACCUGUCGGUUCGGCCGGAUCACACACAGGUG
This 527-nucleotide ribosomal RNA is filed under the name uncultured Martelella sp. Its description in RNAcentral is "bacterial SSU rRNA". It matches the Rfam family "Bacterial small subunit ribosomal RNA", at positions 521 to 1040 of the family's 1533-position model. The record is from RNAcentral. Lineage: Bacteria; Pseudomonadati; Pseudomonadota; Alphaproteobacteria; Hyphomicrobiales; Aurantimonadaceae.